CCACCACGAGCAGCCGGGCCAGCAGCGGCCUGCUCUGCAGCCAGACCUGGCUUAGGCUUAGGCUGCGCAUCCUGACAAGUUUAUUUUCCUCCUUUUGCCUCCGAUUGCAGCACCAAGCAAUGGGAAGAGCGGGCAGACACUGCCUCCUGGCAACACAAACCCUCACAGCUUAGCACAUAGCCAUGGAAAACCCAGCCCAGCUUAGGUGAAUAAGGAGACAGAAGGACAUCAGGACAGGGUGUUAUCAGCAACCCCACGCUCAGCACAGGAUCACACACAGCGUGCUCCGUUCUUACACCCUACAGAAGUACCAGUUCUGAAAAUCUGCCACGUGGUGAACUCUGCAGUUUCUGUUCCACCUCCCCGCGUGCGGGCGGCCCUUUAGGACAUCAGGAGACCGGACCCUAUGAGGGCACAAACAACUCUGUUUUUUUUAAGUCUAUCUAGAAUUCAGUUCAGCUGAAAAGAAGAAAUUCUGCUAGCCAAGGAAAGCCUAACCAGGAGCAAAGAUCUCCAGCCUGACAUUCUGCUACAGGUCUGGAUUUCCUUGCAGAACAGACAGCUUUCAUCAGCCACCCUGAUCUGGAGAUGACGUAGCAAAAAUUUCUGUGCAGCAACACAACUUUGGCCCCUGCCACAAAUCUUUUUAUAGCCCUUCCAGUUUUCGUUUUCCAUUCAAAAAUAGUGCUGCGUUGUGUCCCCCCCAGCUCACCCAGCCGCCCCCAACGGGCUCAGCACAGACCUGCACCCCACGUGGUGUCCCAGCUGACGCUGUCCCCGCAGGCUUUUGGCAGACAGCCCCAACCCUGCUCCACCAGCAGAGCAGCCACCAGUCCCUCAAACGGUGCCACUGCUACCUCUGGAGAUCUCCGUGAUGACUGCAGUGUUUUACAGCGUUGACUGUAAACCUCUCUGAAGAUCCCUUCUCCUCCAAAGCACCACAGUGC
Molecule: long non-coding RNA, 947 nt
Filed under: Gallus gallus (chicken)
Lineage: Eukaryota; Metazoa; Chordata; Aves; Galliformes; Phasianidae
Description: long non-coding RNA NONGGAT005519
Source: RNAcentral